GUCGUCUCCAGUUUGUUCCUUUGUGGAAACCACAGCUUCAACUGAAGAGACUGAAGAGACCUGACUCCACACGGCGACCUUCCAGUUACAGGGCGAGCGCUGGCUUUAUAACAUCGUCCUCAGAUCUGAUCAGCUCUUCCUCCAGAUGCCUUCCUUCAUUGUUUCAGUUUAAGACUUUUCCUUUCUCAGAACUGUAGCUUUGUCUUUUUACUGUUUUUCGCACUUUAACUUUUCUAAUUGGUCAAUGUGAUAUUUACUUUUGUAUGACCCCCAUACUUUUCUAUGAUCAUUUUCGCUGUUGAAUAAAUAAUAAAUCAAAUGUAAAAAUCUGCUUUAUUUCUUACGCCGCUCCCUCCGGUCCAGCAGGGGCGCAGGUCCGUGUGCGCAGUGUCAUUGUUGUUGUUAGCAACAGUUGUUUCUCUUUUCGACACUAUUUUUCAGCCUUUUCUGUGUUUUCUUGUCUCUGAGCUUCUUCAAACAGCUCAUACAGCGGGACACGGCUUUAAUAACCUCCUCCUCCGUGUUUUUAUGGACUUUAUUCACUCGUUUGGAGCCGAGGAGGAGCGGGAAGUUUGAACAUGUAGCAUCUGUUAGCCGCGAUGCUAACUCUGACAAACACAACUUUUUCACUUUUUAAUCGUCUUUUCCUCAUGUUUCUCUGCGCUGGACGAUUUAAUACAAACACUUAUUAACAGUUAUGAUGUUUUAUGCCUUUAGUCCAAACUUAGUUCAGGAAUAUUCACGGAUAUAUGAAGAUUAAUCAACAAAACACAUCAGGAAUAUGAUAUAAUUAGACUUAAAUGAUGCACAACGUUAGUUUUAUUAUUGUAAAUGAAGUCAGAUUCAGGUCAUAUUUAGCCUAAUUGUCCAAAGAGUCGGUGAGAGUCAAAGAUUUGCAGCUAAACGGUGUUAAAACAGAGUUAAAGUGAAGGAUGUUGGUGUCAGACUCUGGUCAGGACCAGCCUCUGUCCCCGGACACUGAGAACCUGCUGAUCCGCUCCACACGGGUCAAUCUGCGGAUCCAGAGACACGGCCCAGGCCCUGUGCACCUCCACACCGAGCCUCCUGCAGCUCCCAGGCCGAGUAGGACGCCUCCUCCUCCGGGUGAGGAGGAGCUGCAGACGAUCCGAUUGGCUGCAGGAGGGCGAGGGGCGGGGCUGGAGGCGCUCAGACAAAGGAGUCACAGCGCCCCCCGCAGGAGACCGGUCAGAGUCACGCUGCUGGACUCCCACAAUGCACCAGGGCAGGACUCCAGCUCCCACAAUGCACCAGGGCAGGACUCCAGCUCCCACAAUGCACCAGGGCAGGACUCCAGCUCCCACAAUGCACCAGGGCAGGACUCCAGCUCCCAUAAUGCACCAGGGCAGGACUCCAGCUCCCACAAUGCACCAGGGCAGGACUCCAGCUCCCAUAAUGCACCAGGGCAGGACUCCAGCUCCCACAAUGCACCAGGGCAGGGCUGUAACAUGGAGAGAGUGUCGGAGCUCACAGAGUCGGUGCAGAAGCUGCUGCAGAACCACAGGGGCCAGACUCUGACGGAGGAGACUCUGCACCGACUGGAGACUCUUCACAACCAGCAGCUCACUCUGCAGAACCAGCUGUUGGACUCUGCGCUGUCGAUGGCGAUGAGACCUCAGGCCCCGCCCCCUCCUGCUGCUGUUCCCACGGCGACGUUACCCGUGUCUGUGGCCCCGCCCUGCCGCUGUGAGCGAGCGCCCGAGCGGUCGUCUCCCAGGGCAACGCUGGAGGAGGCGGGGCUUAGGCCAGAGCAGGUCCUGAUGGAGAUGCAGCGUCUGAGGGCGGAGCUCCAGGUGGCGCUCACGCAGCGAAAAGAACCAGAGAAACCGCCUCCUUCUAAAGAGACUGGACCCAAACCCUCCAGAACCUUCCAGAACCCGCCCAGAUCCUCCAGAGUCCCCGUCGCUCGACUUCACACGAGGAGCCACCAGAGGGAGACACCGGGACGACAGCCGAGCACAGAGGAGACCACACAAAAGCAGCAGCUGAAGGACACUGAGAGAGGAGAGAACUCAGACCAACACCUGAACAUCUGUGGACACCAGGAGAACCAGAGCGAGGAGCAGGAAAACUACAUCCAAUAUUUACAAAACAGGAUCGAAUCCAAACAACACGACCUGAGAGUCAGCGGGAAACCAAGAGCUGGAGAUGAGACGGAAGGAGGAGGAGAGAGAGAGAGAGAGGAGAGAGAGGAGAGAGAGGAGAGAGAGGAGAGAGAGGAGAGAGAGGAGAGAGAGGAGAGAGAGGAGAGAGAGGAGGAGGAGAGAGAGGAGAGAGAGGAGAGAGAGGAGAGAGAGGAGAGAGAGGAGGAGGAGAGAGAGGAGAGAGAGGAGAGAGAGAGGAGAGAGAGGAGGAGGAGAGAGAGGAGAGAGAGGAGAGAGAGGAGAGAGAGGAGAGGCUCAGGAGAGGCUGAAGGAAAGGUCUGCAGCUCUGAGGCCUGA
This 2459-nucleotide long non-coding RNA is filed under the name Neogobius melanostomus (round goby). Its description in RNAcentral is "lncRNA (ENSNMLG00000007870.1)". The record is from RNAcentral. Lineage: Eukaryota; Metazoa; Chordata; Actinopteri; Gobiiformes; Gobiidae.